This 78-nucleotide non-coding RNA is filed under the name Pseudomonas sp. SJZ077. RNAcentral also lists the same sequence under 1 other name. The record is from RNAcentral. Lineage: Bacteria; Pseudomonadati; Pseudomonadota; Gammaproteobacteria; Pseudomonadales; Pseudomonadaceae.
UAAGAGCGAGGCUUGCCCGCGAAGGCAUCUUGCCUGACACACCGCGGUGCGUCGAUUCGCGGGCAAGCCUCGCGCCUA